GGACUGAGUAUCAAAACCUUAUAAAAACAGAGAAGCGGGGAGUGGCUGGCUUAGUGUUCCGCACAGUUAGUGUUUUCAGGAGGAACACAGUGAGUACAGUAUUGGAGACCGGAAGAGCAC
Non-coding RNA from Peromyscus maniculatus bairdii (prairie deer mouse), 120 nucleotides. NCBI's taxonomy places the organism in Eukaryota, Metazoa, Chordata, Mammalia, Rodentia, Cricetidae. The record is from RefSeq and is a predicted model, not a curated record.